AUUGAACGCUGGCGGCAAGCCUAACACAUGCAAGUCGAACGAGUGGCGGACGGGUGAGUAAUGUCUGGGAAACUGCCUGCUGGAGGGGGCUAACUACUGGAAACGGUAGAUAAUACCGCAUACCAUCGGAUGUGCCCAGAUUGGAGUGGCUAGUAGGUGGGGUAACGGCUCACCUAGGAGAAGAUCCCUAGCUGGUCUGAGAGGAUGACCAGCACCACUGGAACUGAGACACGGUCCAGACUCCUACGGGAGGCAGCAGUGGGGAAUAUUGCACAAUGGGCGCAAGCCUGAUGCAGCCAUGCCGCGUGUAUGAAGAAGGCCUUCGGGUUGUAAAGUACUUUCAGCGGGGAGGCGUUACCCGCAGAAGAAGCACCGGCUAACUCCGUGCCAGCAGCCGCGGUAAUAC
This 406-nucleotide ribosomal RNA is filed under the name uncultured bacterium. RNAcentral's name for it is "partial 16S ribosomal RNA". It matches the Rfam family "Bacterial small subunit ribosomal RNA", at positions 30 to 526 of the family's 1533-position model. The record is from RNAcentral.